AUAUCAUGUCUUUAGUGGAUCGUGGUUAGUAUCGUUUGUUUUCCAUGCCGCGAAUGUUCUCGUUUCCCGGUGAAGACCGCUUUUACUUUAAUCAUUGAGUUCAGUGCAAAGCUGAGCUGCGCGCCGUGUCGUCCCUCGCGCCAUUUACCCCGUCUCCGCCGUGCAACGCAGCCAGCAAAGUGACCUGAGCAUCUGGGGCUUCCCACUGCAGGGGAGGUGCACCAUGCUGCGCAGUCCCAGAGGUGAAGGCUGGCCCAGAAUUUUUUUUGGGGGGGGGGGCAACGAAGACAGCAGAGCUCCAGCCUGAGACCUACGGGGAGGUCUCAGCUGUGGAGCUCCCACCUGAGGUCAACAUGGCGACCUCAGAGCGACAGCUUGAGGCUGCUGAGGAGGCCGUCCCGCUGCCCUGCCCGGCCGAGGAGGCCGUCCUGCUGUCCAGCCCAACAGAAGAGGCUGUCCCGCUGCCCUACACAGCCGAGGAAGCUGUCCUGCUGUCCUGCCCAGCAGAGGAGGUCGUUCCGCUGCCCUGCACGGCUGAGGAAGCUGACCUGCUGUCCGGCCCAACAGAGGAGGCCGCCCAGUCCUCCAGUCCCACUGGGGACUCCGCCCAGCAUUCCAGAGCCGCAGGGGGCAGCGCCCUGCAUUUCUGAGCCGGCGCCCUGCAUUCCAGAGCCACCAGGGGCGGUGCCCUGCAUUCCACUUCCGACUUUCAACCCCGGUGGGGGUGUUGCUCCGCCCCUCUGCUGCCCGACAGAGGCUGCCUCGCUUUCCGUGGCAGCGAGAGACAGCUCGCACAGGGGCCCUGGGUCCCCGUUGGAGGGGGGUUCUUGGUUCUCCGGGAGGAGCACCCUUUGGAGGGGGGUUCUGUUACGCCACGGCCAGCAAAAGGCACUGGCCCAACUCCUGACAAGUCACGUGACAUUGUUUUUGUUCGCUUGCUUCCGGAUUGAGCAUUUUGUAUUAAGUGACUUUAAUUUGCCCCAGGUGUCCAUGCCCUGAGUUAAUCAUGUUCUUUAUUUAAAUGCCUGGGGGACUGAGCACUUCGCUCAGUAUUAUAUCAUGUCUUUAGUGGAUCGUGGUUAGUAUCAUUUGUUUUCCAUGCCGCGAAUGUUCUUGUUUCCCUGUGAAGACCGCUUUUACUUUAAUCAUUGAGUUUUGUGUCUAAUAAAGACGGUGACCUGCAUCUGCCUCCAGUCUACGUUUCGUAAUAAUAUGUGUGUGUGUGUGUAUAUAUAAUGUGUGUGUAUAUAUAG
Molecule: long non-coding RNA, 1253 nt
Organism: Ictalurus punctatus (channel catfish)
Lineage: Eukaryota; Metazoa; Chordata; Actinopteri; Siluriformes; Ictaluridae
Source: Ensembl